ACUCCUACGGGAGGCAGCAGUGGGGAAUAUUGCACAAUGGGCGCAAGCCUGAUGCAGCCAUGCCGCGUGUGUGAAGAAGGCCUUCGGGUUGUAAAGCACUUUCAGCAGUGAGGAAGGCGGAGUCGUUAAUAGCGGCCUCGUUUGACGUUAGCUGCAGAAGAAGCACCGGCUAACUCCGUGCCAGCAGCCGCGGUAAUACGGAGGGUGCGAGCGUUAAUCGGAAUUACUGGGCGUAAAGCGCAUGCAGGUGGUUUGUUAAGUCAGAUGUGAAAGCCCGGGGCUCAACCUCGGAAUAGCAUUUGAAACUGGCAGACUAGAGUACUGUAGAGGGGGGUAGAAUUUCAGGUGUAGCGGUGAAAUGCGUAGAGAUCUGAAGGAAUACCGGUGGCGAAGGCGGCCCCCUGGACAGAUACUGACACUCAGAUGCGAAAGCGUGGGGAGCAAACAGGAUUAGAUACCCUGGUAGAUAGCG
This 472-nucleotide ribosomal RNA is filed under the name uncultured bacterium. Its description in RNAcentral is "bacterial SSU rRNA". It matches the Rfam family "Bacterial small subunit ribosomal RNA", at positions 335 to 799 of the family's 1533-position model. The record is from RNAcentral.